Non-coding RNA from Biomphalaria pfeifferi, 1965 nucleotides. The record is from the annotation of a GenBank genome assembly. Lineage: Eukaryota; Metazoa; Mollusca; Gastropoda; Planorbidae.
CUGGGUACUAGCAAACCAUGUCAUUGGGUGAAUCCAACCCAAAAGGUUAAUUUGAACUAAGACUGUGGACUUGAGCAUUAUGAUAGAAGACAACGUCUCCCCAGGAAGUGAAAGGAGAUCCUUUCAACAAUACUUUAGAAUAUCAAGGCAAGUCAGUGCAGGAAGAAAAUCAUGAGGAAAUACUGGCUUAUGUAUGGACAACAUUCUAUGAGUAUGUACAGUAACAAGUCAAUACAUAAACAGUGGUCAACUCUUGGGCCAUCCUCAUAUACACACACAAGUUUUGAGAUGAAAAACUCUAGAACCGCUACAACUUCAUCAAGUCAUAGUAUUCUGUUGCUGUGACCUUUAAAAAAAAAGAAACUUUUUUUUUAGUUAAAUACUGUAUUGAGUGCAGUGAGUUCAAAAGACUUGAAAUACUGUAAGAAAUGAAAUGUGACAAUGAGUAGAGUUUGAAAGGCUACCAACACACUUGCUUCCUUUAAAAACAAACAGUAACCAACAUGUCAUAGGAUAUUAAGAUCUACGAUGAAAAACAAAAAAUGACAAAAAGCAAAACAAAGAGGAAAAAAAAAAGACCAGCAAAUCAAAGAAAUUUCUCAUAAAACCUUACAGAAAGAAAAAAAAACAUUUUGUAGAAUCAAAUAAAUCCAAACAACUAGCACUCAAUACAAAGUUAGGUAAACUUGAAUCUCAUGAUGUAAAACUAUUUACUUUUAGUGCCAUAAAAACAUGCUAGAGAAAAGAGAUUUAAAGACAAAAUAGAAAAGAAAAAUAAAAAGAAUAUACACAUUGUUCUCUUAAACCAUACCAAAAUCUUUAGUAUAAGAGUUUGAAUCAGAUUUAAAAGUUACAUUUGUUGUAAAGUAACUCAUAAGAUCAAUCAUUCAUCGCAUUUCUAAGAUGAGAGAAUUAAUCAAAAGAGACACUUUGUCCUCUCACUCUAUCAUAUCAACAUAUAACACAUACCUACACAACAUACAAGACUGUGCUCUCAUUUCUUAAGAUCAACAUACAAGAUUGUCCUCUCAUUCCUUAAGAUCAACAUACAAGACUGUCCUCUCAUUCUAUCAGAUUAACAUGUGACACAUGGCUAAAAAAUAAAUACAUGCUAUAAACUAUUCACCAGUAUAUUUUUGUUUCCUAUGUGAAGAGGAAAUGACUUUUAUGCUAGCUGUUCUAUACAAUAAUGUGUUUUAGUAAUCCCAGAACAUUACUAUGUUAAAGAUUCUGGUGAUCAAAGUUAUGAAAGAACGUUAUAAGCAAAUAAAAUAUUUAUUUCUAUAAGAGCAAGUAGCAAUUCUAAGAACAUAUAUCUAAAGAGUCUUUAACUUUUAAUAAUGUAUUUUAUCCAAAUGUUCACAAGGUAGAGUCACAGCUCUUCUCUUUCUAUUUACUCUGCAAUAUGCAAAAUAUUUGUGAUGAUAGUAGACAACUCAAAAGUCACUCUUUGACUAUCAUGUGAAGAAAUAAUCAAUGUAAUGGCAAGUGAACUGAAUGUCUUUGUCCCCCAUUGUACCACAAUGCUAAGAAAUUUCUAACCUAGGACCCUCAAAGACUAACUGGCUCAAACUAUUAAGGCCUUGGGUCUUGGUUAUAAAAGAGCUGUAUUUUUGUUUUUGUUAGCAUCUAGUUUCAGCUACAUUUCAAAGGAUAUGCAAUGCCAAGGCAACUAAGUCCAGCAUGUGUUAUGAAAUCGUUUUUUUUACCAACUAGAUUUUAUACAUAUCAUGAAAGGUUAUAAUAAUUGUAACUUAGAAAUACUGAAUGUUGUUUUGUAGAUACAGACUAUCAUAGAACAGAAUACUUCUUGUAAGAAAUAACAAACAACAACAAAAAAAACAACAAGUCAACAUAAUACAAACACAGGUCCAUGAAAUAUCCUUGUAAACCUAAUACAAACACAGAUCAUAGUACUACACAGGUCCAUGAAAUAUCCUUGUAAACCUAAUACAAACAGAUCAG